UGGUUAUAUGCAAAGAACAAAAGUAAACAUGCAAUGCAAUUGAUUCAAUUGGUUUUGAGAAACUAUGGAUGAAUGGUGUUGUUGGGUUUUACAAUUUCAUCUUAUCCACUCUCAUAUAUCUACUCUUCAUAUUUACUUCACUUAUUUAUCUAAUUGCCAUGCAAACUUUCUAGUUUACCCUUAACCCAAUCCCUUGGUGAAAAGAGCCUAUUAUUAAUUACCAGCUUGCUAUCCCUAGCCUCCCCUAGUAACCAAUAAUGCAAUGAGAUCGGAAGCAAAUACAAUUGAUCGUCCUACCCCUAUCCCUAGGCGAUAUUGGCAUAAUCAAGGAAUUUCUCACGAGUUCAUGAAAUUACCGUACAUCCCC
Molecule: long non-coding RNA, 367 nt
Filed under: Vigna radiata
Lineage: Eukaryota; Viridiplantae; Streptophyta; Magnoliopsida; Fabales; Fabaceae
Description: long non-coding RNA (VRAD_LNC009280)
Source: RNAcentral